AGCGAACGCUGGCGGCAGGCCUAACACAUGCAAGUCGAACGAACCUUUCGGGGUUAGUGGCGGACGGGUGAGUAACACGUGGGAACGUGCCUUUAGGUUCGGAAUAACUCAGGGAAACUUGUGCUAAUACCGAAUGUGCCCUUCGGGGGAAAGAUUAAUCGCCUUUAGAGCGGCCCGCGUCUGAUUAGCUAGUUGGUUGAGGUAAUGGCCCACCAAGGAGACGAUCAGUAGCUGUUCUGAGAGGAUGAUCAGCCACAUUGGGACUGAGACACGGCCCAAACUCCUACGGGAGGCAGCAGUGGGGAAUCUUGCGCAAUGGGCGAAAGCCUGACGCAGCCAUGCCGCGUGAAUGAUGAAGGUCUUAGGAUUGUAAAAUUCUUUCACCGGGGACGAUAAUGACGGUACCCGGAGAAGAAGCCCCGGCUAACUUCGUG
RNAcentral lists this ribosomal RNA (434 nucleotides) under uncultured bacterium. RNAcentral's name for it is "partial 16S ribosomal RNA". It matches the Rfam family "Bacterial small subunit ribosomal RNA", at positions 29 to 507 of the family's 1533-position model. The record is from RNAcentral.